Molecule: ribosomal RNA, 253 nt
Filed under: uncultured bacterium
Lineage: Bacteria
Description: partial 16S ribosomal RNA
Rfam family: Bacterial small subunit ribosomal RNA
Source: RNAcentral
UACGUAGCGUCCAAACGUUAUUCGGAAUUACUGGGCUUAAAGGGUACGUAGGCGGCGCUGUCAGUCGGGUGUGAAAUCCCAGGGCUCAACCCUGGAACUGCGCCCGAUACUGCAGUGCUUGAGGGAGACAGAGGUAAGCGGAACUGAUGGUGGAGCGGUGAAAUGCGUUGAUAUCAUCAGGAACACCAGUGGCGAAAGCGGCUUACUGGGUCGCUUCUGACGCUGAGGUACGAAAGCUAGGGGAGCGAAGGGG